RNAcentral lists this ribosomal RNA (253 nucleotides) under uncultured bacterium. Its description in RNAcentral is "partial 16S ribosomal RNA". It matches the Rfam family "Bacterial small subunit ribosomal RNA", at positions 524 to 776 of the family's 1533-position model. The record is from RNAcentral.
UACGUAGGGGGCAAGCGUUGUCCGGAAUCAUUGGGCGUAAAGCGCGCGUAGGCGGCCCGGUAAGUCCGUUGUGAAAGUCAAAGGCUCAACCUUUGAACGCCGAUGGAUACUGCCGGGCUAGAGUCCGGAAGAGGCGAGUGGAAUUCCUGGUGUAGCGGUGGAAUGCGCAGAUAUCAGGAAGAACACCAACGGCGAAGGCAGCUCGCUGGGACGGUACUGACGCUGAGACGCGAAAGCGUGGGGAGCAAACAGG